Eriocheir sinensis (Chinese mitten crab) is the source of this 4452-nucleotide long non-coding RNA. RefSeq lists it as uncharacterized. The record is from RefSeq and is a predicted model, not a curated record. The transcript is spliced from 3 exons. NCBI's taxonomy places the organism in Eukaryota, Metazoa, Arthropoda, Malacostraca, Decapoda, Varunidae.
CUUAAUCUGUAGUUCCUGAAGGGUCUAUCAAGGGUACUAGGGCUAAGUCUCCUGUGCCUGUGGUCUGGGUGUGAAGGGAAGGGAUGGGAGGAUAUGUCUGUGUGGUCUGUUCCUUCUGGUGGGCUUGCUGAGGGUGUCUGUCUAUGUCUGUGGUCUGGAUGUGAAGGGAAGGGAUGGGAGGAGAUGUCUGUGUGGUCUGUUUCUUAAAGCUAGGGCUAAGUCUCCUAUGUCUGUGGUCUGGAUGUGAAGGGAAGGGAUGGGAGGAUAUGUCUGGUGGGGUCUGUUUCUUGAGGGGUCCAAGGGCUAAGUCUAUGUCUGUGGGCUGGAUGUGAAGGGAAGGGAUGGGAGGAUAUGUCUGGUGGGGUCUGUUUCUUUAGGGGUCCAAGGGCUAAGUCUAUGUCUGUGGGCUGGAUGUGAAGGGAAGGGAUGGGAGGAUAUGUCUGGUGGGGUCUGUUUCUUUAGGGGUCCAAGGGCUAAGUCUAUGUCUGUGGGCUGGAUGUGAAGGGAAGGGAUGGGAGGAUAUGUCUGGUGGGGUCUGUUUCUUUAGGGGUCCAAGGGCUAAGUCUAUGUCUGUGGGCUGGAUGUGAAGGGAAGGGAUGGGAGGAUAUGUCUGUGUAGUCUGUGGUAGGCUUGCUAAGGGUGUCUGCUGGUAGGGUAAGUCAGUCUGUGUCAGGGUGUGCAAUACUUUCAGCCUACGAGUGUGUGGGGGACAAGGUCUGAGUAUGUAAGACCUCGGAAGUGUGGGCUACUCUACGCGCGACUACAGACCCUAAAGCAUGGUCUCUAUGGGGUCUUGACGCAGGCUCGAGCAAGGAGAGGCUUCGCAAGGGAUAGAGCCAUUUUUAGUCUGCACUGGGAAAGACAGACUAGACUACACAUUUUUUUUCCCGGUACAAACUAGAAAAAAAUGGCUGUUUCUCGCCCACUAGACGCCUCGUAUGGGGAAUCAAGACCAAGGGCUAUUUGUUGAGGUCUGGCAGCCACUUGGGGUCUCACGUCUAGCCAAGGACUCUAGGGUAUCCUUGGGUCUAUCUGGCGGUCUAGAAGGAUAUGUCUGUAGGAUAUUACGGUUGACAUUUCUGAUAUGCAGGAUAAUUUUUUGUUUUGUGGUUGUGUUAAAAUGGUUGAUAUAUUGAGUCCUAAGCUUACACACACACACACACAUCACUAAACACCUUUCAAAGACAUAUUUUUACCUUGUUUUCAAAUUCCUUCUAAUUCAUAAACGUAAGUACUUUUAACCCAAAUUAAUGUAAUCUUUUCUAUCUUCUAAUAUAAUCUUCAAUAUCUUUUUUAACUUAAUCUUUCAUAUUCUCUCUCUCUCUCUCUCUCUCUCUCUUGUAAAUAGAUUAAACUUGCACUCUCUCUCUCACAUGGAUAUUUUAACAUUCUCUAACGCCUUUUCGCUCAUUCAAACGCCAAUAUGAAACUGAAUUUCUGCCAAUAUUAAACUGAAUUCCUGACACACACACACACACACACACACACACACACACACACACACACGCAUGCACGUUCGCUUAACAUAUACGUAACACUAAUUCGUGAACGUCGCGAUCGAACGGAACUUUCAACACGUAUUUUUCAACAAGUAACAUAAUUUUUUCUUCUUCGUUUCGUGCGCGGAUUAAAAUUUGCGUCAUCGAUAAUCUUUUUUUUACAUGUUAACAGGGAGAGUAUUUUGGCAUCACUAUGUUCUAAUAUACUCACAAGUUUCAACGCUUAUAAUACUUGCUAAAUACGUAACUCCUUCCGUACAAGUUUCAAGCCUUAUAAUACUUGCUAAUACGUAACUCUUUACGUACGUACAAUUUUGAUACAUAAAACAACCUUAGUGAUACAUGAUUUGAUUUUGUAUGCAGCUAUCACAUCAGUAUUCACACACACACACACACACACACACACACACACACACACACACACACACACAUCAGGUUAGCCAGUCCCAAAAUUACUGCUUGGAGGAUUUCCUUGUGAGGCCGCUGAACAGACUUUUAAUUUAACGAACCCAGCGCAGAAAAAGAAGAAAAAAGCAAAAUGAAAAUGAUUCCUUGGUGUGUAAGUCAUGAUAGAGAGAGAAAGUUAAGCUAUAUGGAAAGAGGAAUGGAAGGAGAGGAAGAAGGAGAGGGAAAUCUAUCACUCAAUCUGUCCCUCAUCAAAGAUACUGAGAGGAUUUUAAGCUAUAUGGAAAGAGGAAUGGAAGGAGAGGAAGAAGGAGAGGCAAUCUAUCACUCAAUCUAUCCCUCACCAAAAAUAUGGAUAGGGAAGGUUAAGCUCUAUGCAAUGAGGAAGAGAGAGAGAAAGGAAGGGAGGGGAAAGUAUAUCAAUCUCUCUGCCUCACAAAAGACCCAGAGAUAAAAUUUUAAGCUGCAAAGAGGUAUGGAAGGGAGGGAAGAGAAGGGAAGGUCUAUCGUGUGUUUCGGGAACUCGUCAAUUCGCAAAAGAUGAAGAGAAGAAACUAAGAAUCACGUAACAGAGAAAUUGGAGAGAGAGAAGAGAGAGAACAGUGCUGGGUGUGAGAGAAAAGACUACUGAGUGCGUAACAUGGGGAGACGGGAUUGAAACAUAUAUUACGAACAAGAAGACAUAUCGUAGAGAGAACAGUGCUGGGUUUGACAUGACGAGGAGCGUAACAUGGGGAGACAGGAUUGAAACAUAUAUUACGAACAAGAAGACAUAUCGUAGAGAGAACAUUGCUGGGUUUGACGUGACAAGAAGAAUACCGAGUGCGUAACAUAGGGAGACGGGAUCAAAACAUGUAUUACGAACAAGAAGACAGAUCGUAGAAGUCAGUAUUCCGGCCAACACAAGGAAACACACUGCAGCUACCCUGUCUAUAGCGCUGGCAACACACACACACACACACACACACACAACUACCAGAAACACAUGAAAAGACCCAGCAAACUCUAGUAAUAUAUAUAAUAGACUCUUUCUAGACUCAAACAGCUGUAUAGAGGUAACAAGAUCUCAUGGUCAAAAUAGCUUUCUUAAUCUACAGCAAAAUAAUUCUAUAUAUAACUCUCUAAGAUCCAACAGACAGGAAGAUACAGCGCAUGUCUCUUAUGGGGGGGGGGGUAAGCUAUGGAUACAGGGACCAUCAGCUAUAUACAAGUGCUUCUGCGAUUGCCGUGGAAGCUUUUUAACAAGUACAUCGAUCGCGACACAUGAUAUCGGAAGCCUGUGUCCGAGACCUCACACACAACCGCAUAUAUAUUCAACCUCAGGACACAUAUGAGGAUGGGGGUGUAUGUAUGAGGUGUAUGAGGGGUGUUGGUACCUCAUAUCCCACUCAUAUUUGACAAGGGAUGAGGGUGUGAGGUGAGGUAUGAGUGUGGAGGGAUGUGAUCGUACGAGGAAGGUUCUGGGUACGCUGAGGACUGGGUUAGGAAGGAAGGUCAUGGGAAAGGUCUUAGAGGGGAAGGUUUUAGAGAAUUAAGGUCUAGGAAGGGAAGGUCUUAGAAAAUUAAGGUCUUGGAAGGAAAGGUUUUAGAGAAGGAAGGUCUUGGAAGGUCUUAGAAGGGAAGGUCUUGAAAGGUCUUAGAAGGGAAAGUCUUAGAGAGGGAAAGAGCUCAGAAAAGGAAGGUCUUGGAAGGUCUAAGAAGGGAAGGUUUUAGAAAAGGAAGGUCUUGGAAGGUCUUAGAAGGGAAGGUUUUGUAGAAGGAAGGUCAUGGAAGGUCUUAGAAGGGAAGGUUUUAGAGAAGGAAGGCCAUGGAAGGUCUUAGAAGGGAAGGUUUUAGAGAAGGAAGGUCUUGGAAGGUCUUAGAAGGGAAGGUUUUAUAAGGGAAAGUCUUGGAAGGUUUUAGAAGGGAAGGUCUUAGAGAGAGAAAGAGCUUACAAAAUGAAGGUCUCAGAAAUAUAAAGUCUCAGAAGGCAAGGUCGUAUAAGGUCUUAAGAGAAGGGAAAGGUCUUAGACGAGGAAGGGUUUACAUACAUAGGGGUUUAAGGUCAAGGGUCAAGGUAGAAGGGAGGGUCUUUGAGAGAAAAAAAAGCUUGAAGGUCUUAGAAAUAUAAAGUCUCAGAAGGCAAGGUCGUAUAAGGUCUUAGAGAAGGGAAAGGUCAACGAGGAAGGGUUUACAUACAUAGGGGUUUAAGGUCAAGGGUUAAGGUACGUUCAAAGGGAUAUAGGCCUCAAGACAGCCUGCAAUAAGGGCUUAGACGGCAUCAAGUCAACCCGCUCUGAGGAUGUGAGGGCAGCCAUCAGACUCGCACACAACCACACCCUGCCCGCUGCCCUCACCAUGUGUGUGUGUGUGUGUGUGUGUGUGUGUGUGUGUGUGUGUAUGUGUGUGUGUGUGUCCUUUAAACUAUCAAUUCUAGCCUUUACGUAACUAUAGACUUGAUUUCUUUGCUUUACGAUAAUUUGGAUAACGAUUUCGCUCUUAUGCUCAUCAUGUUUGUAGGACGUAGUGAGUGUGUGUGUGUGUGUGUGUGUGUGUGUGUGUGUGUGUG